Molecule: ribosomal RNA, 446 nt
Filed under: uncultured bacterium
Lineage: Bacteria
Description: bacterial SSU rRNA
Rfam family: Bacterial small subunit ribosomal RNA
Source: RNAcentral
CCAGACUCCUACGGGAGGCAGCAGUGGGGGAUAUUGCACAAUGGGGGGAACCCUGAUGCAGCGACGCCGCGUGGGUGAAGAAGUAUUUCGGUAUGUAAAGCCCUAUCGGCAGGGAAGAAUUUAGACGGUACCUGACUAAGAAGCCCCGGCUAACUACGUGCCAGCAGCCGCGGUAAUACGUAGGGGGCAAGCGUUAUCCGGAUUCACUGGGUGUAAAGGGAGCGUAGGCGGGGAUGCAAGUUGGGUGUUAAAUCUACCGGCUCAACUGGUAGUCGCACUCAAAACUGCAGCUCUUGAGCGAAGUAGAGGCAGGCGGAAUUCCUAGUGUAGCGGUGAAAUGCGUAGAUAUUAGGAGGAACACCAGUGGCGAAGGCGGCCUGCUGGGCUUUUACUGACGCUGAGGCUCGAAAGUGUGGGGAGCAAACAGGAUUAGAUACCCCAGUAAU